GGGGGUAUAGCUCAGUUGGGAGAGCACCUGCCUUGCACGCAGGGGGUCAAGAGUUCGAAGCUCUUUAUCUCCACCA
Molecule: transfer RNA, 76 nt
Filed under: Clostridium botulinum D/C
Lineage: Bacteria; Bacillati; Bacillota; Clostridia; Eubacteriales; Clostridiaceae
Description: tRNA-Ala
Rfam family: tRNA
About the family: Transfer RNA (tRNA) molecules are approximately 80 nucleotides in length. Their secondary structure includes four short double-helical elements and three loops (D, anti-codon, and T loops). Further hydrogen bonds mediate the characteristic L-shaped molecular structure. tRNAs have two regions of fundamental functional importance: the anti-codon, which is responsible for specific mRNA codon recognition, and the 3' end, to which the tRNAs corresponding amino acid is attached (by aminoacyl-tRNA synthetases). tRNAs cope with the degeneracy of the genetic code in two manners: having more than one tRNA (with a specific anti-codon) for a particular amino acid; and 'wobble' base-pairing, i.e. permitting non-standard base-pairing at the 3rd anti-codon position.
Source: RNAcentral